This 584-nucleotide long non-coding RNA is filed under the name Linum usitatissimum (flax). Its description in RNAcentral is "long non-coding RNA (LUSI_LNC002525)". Lineage: Eukaryota; Viridiplantae; Streptophyta; Magnoliopsida; Malpighiales; Linaceae. The record is from RNAcentral.
UUCACAUCUUCACAUCUGUAUGCUUUUCUUUAUAAUUUUAUUUUUCUCACUUUUCUUCAUGCUUCUUGAUUCGUUAAAUUCUAAAUUUUUUUACAGAGACAAUGAAAGAAGAAGAAGAAAGAAGAGUUGAGGAAAAACAGGAAAAUCAUGAUCAAGAGGACUAUCUCAAUCUAUUCGCAUAGUAGCAAUCAUCUGACGAAGAAAUUGAGGAGGAGGAUGAGUUUGCCAAUGAAGAAGAAAAUGAGGAGGAGGAUGAUUUUACCAAUGAGGAAGAGGCUGAUUAGAAGAUUGACUACAUAAAUUCUCAGUCUCUUAGAUCAAAUUUGAAGUGUCAAUUCAGAUGCACGAGGAAAAAAUAGAAUGAAGAAGCUGCAGAUUGCUGUACUUCAAAGUGGGAGGCUGGUUUGUGUUUAAGCCAUUACUCUUAUAUAUAGUCAACUUAUGAAAGUCUUCUUCUUCCUUUUGUGUUUACAUGUGAGGAUCGAACUUGUGGUGUCAUGUGAGUAAUCACCCAAGUACUGUACUGACUGAUUAGUGAUUACUUACGUACUUGACUUGUUUGUUAUUCUCAUUUUCAAUCCGAU